AGAAAAGAUAUUUUUUCUCUCAUCAAGCUUUAUAAUCUAUUAUUAUAAAAAGUUAUAUUAAAUAAAACUUUGACAAAUUCUGAUCUUUACCAAAUCAGUAUUUCUUCGUACUUCGACGAGUGAAUAUCGAAGUUUUCUCUUUCUAAAUAUGAAAAUUUAUAAAUUAAUCAUUUCGGUAAUUUUAUGAUUAUUGAAACAAUAUAUAAUGUACGCAGAGUACAAUAAAUUAAUAUUUAAACAAUAAUACAUUCAUUUAACCAUUACGAAGAACGUAAAGCGCGAAAAACUUCUGAUAAUUUUCAAAUAAAUUCCACAUUUAAAAAUUUUCAUCUAGGGCUUGUGGAGCGUAUAUAAACAUACACACGGUAUAUAAACAUUUUGUGUAUAUAAAUAUACACGGUCCUCUUUCUAUCAUUUUGGCAAUUAUCGAGUUAGUUCUCUUUUGUACUCCUACGUCUGUACGUCUUUACUAUCUCUUUCUAAACGUGAAAACUUAUAAUUUAAUAAUUUCGAGAAGUAUAAUUUGGAAAAGGGUUUUUUCUUGCUUUCUAUUAAAUUUUUACUAUAUACAACAAUUUCUCUCACAUAUUAGCUCGAUUGUUAGAUUAUUCUUGAGAGAGAAACAGAGAGAGAGAGAGAGAGAGAGAGAGAGAGAGAGACA
Vespa crabro (European hornet) is the source of this 661-nucleotide long non-coding RNA. RefSeq lists it as uncharacterized. The transcript is spliced from 2 exons. Lineage: Eukaryota; Metazoa; Arthropoda; Insecta; Hymenoptera; Vespidae. The record is from RefSeq and is a predicted model, not a curated record.